UGUUUUGUUUUGCGGAAAUGGAGGAGUUGGAGAAGGAGCAUAAGAAAGACUCCGAGUGCGACGUGGAGAUGGAAGAAGGCUCCCAGGCCGCAGACUGGGACAGCGAUGAAACGGUGGUAGAGGGGUCCGUGACGGAGAGCGACCCCGAGGAAGAGGCGCUGCCCUGGAGAAGGUUGCUUUUUAAUCAAGACACGUCUCUUAGAUCUGAGUUCAGUCUCCAUCCCAGUAAAGAUCCAACACAGGAUAUAUGCAAUCUUUGCCAAACUGGUGCAUCUUCUCCAGAGAUUCAGGUUAGAUUCAGAUUCAGAGAGGAUCCACAGGAGCAAAUGAGUAUAAAUCAAACGAUGCUUAUUCUUAUUGAGGAUACAGUCUUACAGCAACCUCAGAAUGAAAUGGAACAAAAUGGAGCUUUGUUACAAAAAAGUCAUCCAGUGUUCACGGUAUCAUUUCCCCAGGCUGAACUUUCACUGAACCACCGAAGUAGUCUAGGACCUGAGGCUGAAAAUCCUGAGCUGUUAACACACCCAGAAAAGGAGAAGUCAUUAAUAGAGCCAGAGAAGGAGCCUUGUGAGGAAGGUGCAUUGACCAUGACUUCGGAAGAAAACAAAGAUGAAGAAAGCUCUCUUGAAACUUUUGUGUCUGCCUUAGAAAGGAUACUCACAUCACCAGAAAUCAGCCAGGAGGAAAGACUGCUUAGAAUAAUGAAUGAUUUUGAACCUAGAGAGCUGGUGAACCCAUUGAGCAACUCUUCAGGCUCCAUAUCAAUACCUUUGACAUGUCACAGAGAUUUUCUAGAAGACCCAAAGGAUGAUGCAUUGCCAGUUGAGGUAUCAACAGCCUUAGACACAUUGUCAGAGGCCAAGGUGGAACCCAUCUGUCACAGGAAAGAGGGAGGCAUCAGGCUCAGUGCUGGAAAUGAAUGUUCGGGAGUGGAGCCCAGUAUGUCUCAGACUGAUGAAGACUGUACACAGAUAGCAGAGGUGGAUUUUGAGACUCUUUAUUCUACUCCACCAUUUGAACAAGAUUCCAAGUUAGCUGAGCUGCAGGACAAGCAUCUUCCAGUGCAGCAAAUAAGUGUAAGUAUGAACCGACAGUUUUACCUUUUAUAG
This 1109-nucleotide long non-coding RNA is filed under the name Capra hircus (goat). RNAcentral's name for it is "lncRNA (ENSCHIG00010008470.1)". Lineage: Eukaryota; Metazoa; Chordata; Mammalia; Artiodactyla; Bovidae. The record is from RNAcentral.